This 421-nucleotide ribosomal RNA is filed under the name uncultured bacterium. Its description in RNAcentral is "partial 16S ribosomal RNA". It matches the Rfam family "Bacterial small subunit ribosomal RNA", at positions 359 to 771 of the family's 1533-position model. The record is from RNAcentral.
GAAUAUUGGACAAUGCGGGGAACCCUGAUCCAGCCAUGCCGCGUGUGUGAAGAAGGCCUGUUGGUUGUAAAGCACUUUACGCGAGGAGGAGGCUACCUGGAUGAAUACUUUAGGAUAGUGGACUUUACUCGCAGAAUAAGCACCGGCUAACUCUGUGCCAGCAGCCGCUGUAAUACAGAGGGUGCGAGCGUUAAUCGGAUUUACUGGGCGUAAAGCGUGCGUAGGCGGUCAAUUAAGGCAAAUGUGAAAUCCCCGAGCUUAACUUGGGAAUUGCAUUCGAUACUGGUUGGCUAGAGUAUGGGAGAGGAUGGUAGAAUUCCAGGUGUAGCGGUGAAAUGCGUAGAGAUCUGGAGGAAUACCGAUGGCGAAGGCAGCCAUCUGGCCUAAUACUGACGCUGAGGUACGAAAGCAUGGGGAGCAA